This 447-nucleotide ribosomal RNA is filed under the name uncultured bacterium. RNAcentral describes it as "bacterial SSU rRNA". It matches the Rfam family "Bacterial small subunit ribosomal RNA", at positions 330 to 793 of the family's 1533-position model. The record is from RNAcentral.
GCCAGACUCCUACGGAGGCAGCAGUGGGGAAUAUUGGGCAAUGGGCGAAAGCCUGACCCAGCAACGCCGCGUGGGUGAAGGAGCGUUUCGGCGCGUAAAGCCCUAUCGGCAGGGAAGAAGGAGGACGGUACCUGACUAAGAAGCCCCGGCUAACUACGUGCCAGCAGCCGCGGUAAUACGUAGGGGGCAAGCGUUAUCCGGAUUCACUGGGUGUAAAGGGAGCGUAGACGGCGACGCAAGUCUGGAGUGAAAGCCCGGGGCCCAACCCCGGGACUGCUCUGGAAACUGCGUCGCUGGAGUACGGGAGGGGCAGGCGGAAUUCCUGGUGUAGCGGUGAAAUGCGUAGAUAUCAGGAGGAACACCGGCGGCGAAGGCGGCCUGCUGGACCGUGACUGACGUUGAGGCUCGAGAGCGUGGGGAGCAAACAGGAUUAGAUACCCCGGUACG